UGACGGGGUUGCAAUCACUGACUGCAUGGGCUAUUUUUAGGCCAUCAAAAGGGGGAGGUAUUUUUCCAAUAGAUAUUUUUGGGUGAAAAAAAUCGAUGCAUUUUUGUUAGAUAUUCCUCUCUCGGCAUCCUGCGAGGGCAGUGGGUAGAAUAUUUCAUGACUGCUCCCAGUUGCAGAAGCGUGCUUUGCUCCUGAAUUAAUUUGAUACUAUUUUUGAAACUCAGUGUUUCUAAGGGAGACCUAAUGACGCAAUGACGUCAGUGCAGGUCAGGAACACACUGGAAGAGCCGAGCUGGUUGGUCAGGGCAGGGCUUUUUGCAAAAUACAACCCCCUUUCCCGCCCCCCACCACCAAAAAAAAAAUCCAGGCAUAUAAAGCACCACUGAGUAUGUUUGUAAUCCGAAAAAUAGAAUAGCUAACCUGGAGGGUUGGUCUGAAUCCGAUUAUUAUUUAUUUAUUUAUUUGCACUUGUCAACAUUUCAGUAGCUUGUACUAGAUACAAAUAUCCCUGAUUAUUUAUUAGUUUGCUCUCUCCUGAAUUUGGCACCGAGCACCAAAUAUUCUGCCACUGUUAAUUCAGAAUGCAGACUCACACGUGAAGUGCAGAGCUUCUGUCGCCUUGCGCAUAGAUUAUGAUAUCUGGUACACUUUCAGAAAUGUACAUAUAUACGUAUAUAAAUGGUUGUAUAGAAUUCGUGUCGUCAGAACAGGACACAGCUGCAGAUCUGAACCGAGUUGGUAAAAGGUCGACGCUUGAACCGUACCAGGGAAGUGGGGUGGACAUGAAGAACAAGCCCAGCUGAGGGUCCUUCAGUCAAAUUCUCAGUAUCACAGCAGCACUGCCCAUCCUGUUAGAGUCCAGGGAUAGAUCUACGCAAGAAGACCUCAGCAGAUUCAUAUCACAUAUUUGUGUCACUUGUUUCACUGGGAUUGGAAGAACAAUGCUGGCCUGCUCCUUCCUCACUGAGUGGACAGUUCUGCGGGGUUUAUUUUAAUCACAGUGUAAUUUUAAUUCUGGGUCUUGUCUGUGGAAAGCUGCACGAGCUGAUUCCGUGGGAGCCCAGGCAGAAUGCGUGGGCGCUGAAAAGUAGCAAGCCAGAGCCAAAGAUUCUUGUAAUUUGCGUCACUGCAGGAGACGGGGCUGUUUGCCUGACAAAUAGACAGAAUUAACCUCGCUUUAUCAAUAUCUGGCUGUAGUUCGAUUGAAAAGAGAGAGGGGGAAUGUGCUCCUGGCACAGGCUUGUUUCUGCAGUGUGUAAACCGUGCGAGGUACACCAGGCACAGCACACCCUAGAUUACAAUGCCCAUGCCUAGAGGCUAAUGCUAAUGUUUUGGCGCUGAAACAUAUUUUUAAAAAAAAUCCUCAUUCGGAUCACCCCCGAGACUCUUAAAGAGACUGUGAACGUGACGUCAAUGGAAUAAGACUGACGCGUACCAACUCACCAUUUCCACACAGGCUGGAGACGGUAGCUACAGAGUCCCUCAUUCCUUCCCCUUUAUCGCUCCAACCCCACUGCCCAAAGAGCCACCUUUUGCUCCUAAUUCCUCAAUUGCAGAGAAAACAGAAAUAAAAUUUUGUAAAGAAAGGCCUUGGGGUAAAAAAAAACACCCAAACAAUAAUGACUGGCGUGUUAGAAAGCUGGGGUUGUAUGUAUUUUUGUAAAGUGUUGCUUCCCAGAAGUGUUUUGCAAGGAAGCGCUGCAUAUUAUCCAAAUGUGCGAGAUGCAAAUAAAAUGAAAGGUGGACCGCUAAAUAUAUUUGAAAGCCGGGGGCACACGAUCGAAGCCCCAACACACCCAGACAGCUGGGGAGAUGUGUAAAUGAGACCGGAGAGUGUAGAAAGGUUUGAAAUCUCUGCAAUGAUGUAACUAAAAGCUAGCCAGAUACAAGUGGUGCAGAGAUGGUAAAGGAUCAAAAUCUCAGUGUUCAUUUCAUGGUUUGUACGUCACGUUGCAGCAAAAUGCCUUUGUGAGUAGUUUUUUUUGAGACCGCAAGCUAAAAAUAGCACGGGGUUUGAUCGCACUCCAGAAAUAGAAGGAGGGAUUUACUUGCAUAAAAAGAGAGCGCGGGUGGAGGAAAACCUGAUUUCGACUUCUAUAUUUGCAACUCAAUCAGAAAAUUAAUAGGAUACUUUUGUUUUGCCGAGGAGAGGAAUCCUAAGCGAUGGUAGGUUAUAUUUGUAUCUACAAUGAUGUGAAGCUUUACUAUGCAUUUUUAAAAAAUUGUCUCUGAAUAUGCUCACAAGUAGAUCGCAUUGCAUGUGUUUUUCUUUCUAAGAGAUACUCAUUGUGGAGAGUAGGCAGCAGGUGGAUGGAGGAUCACCCUGAAUCCUUAUAUAUCUGAAUCAAUAUCAGUUGGAACCCGCUCUCUGUCGGCGGUGCUGAGACUCUCAGCAAACGUGAUCCCGAGAAUGAGCCAGCUUUAACGUGGCACUGUCAUAACUUCGAGGGCAAAACAGAUUCUGGGACAAGACGGAUGGAGCUGUGAAAGUAAACACAACGUAAAAAUAUAAUCCGUCCUUCCUUCAUGCUGAAUUGUAAGUCGAUGCUUUAGAAUCGCUCUAUGUCCGCAAAACAAAUAUCAAUUCUCAAUAGUCAGUUCUCACUUCCACUUUUGACAAUCGAUUAUAUCACCCUUUCUGAUUGGCGCCUCCAAUGUUACUGGGUGUGAUGGUAGACGUAUCUGUUUGUUUGGGAGGAGGGGGCGAGCAGCAUCUGGAGAAAUACUGUACGGAAGACGGUAAUUGUAGCAACUUUGUAAACAGUUCUGAGCUCUUCUGAAGUUUUAAAAGCAAUAUUAACAUUUAAGGUGCACUGAAGACUUUCCUGCUAAGCUGUGGCAUUAUUCUGAUGUUUCGUUUACGUCAGUUAUAGGCAGACAUCGAAUGCAGCCUCUUAAACAUUGUACUCACUGACACACGCGUCUAUUUUUCAGCUCUU
Chiloscyllium plagiosum (whitespotted bambooshark) is the source of this 2939-nucleotide long non-coding RNA. RefSeq lists it as uncharacterized. The record is from RefSeq and is a predicted model, not a curated record. Lineage: Eukaryota; Metazoa; Chordata; Chondrichthyes; Orectolobiformes; Hemiscylliidae.